RNAcentral lists this long non-coding RNA (589 nucleotides) under Phasianus colchicus (ring-necked pheasant). RNAcentral describes it as "lncRNA (ENSPCLG00000018559.1)". Lineage: Eukaryota; Metazoa; Chordata; Aves; Galliformes; Phasianidae. The record is from RNAcentral.
GAUUGAUUCACACAGUCAUGACAGCUUCUACUAAGAGUUUUUCAUGGGAUCUGGCUUGCCCAUUUUGGAGUUGUUACAUCUGUCCUGAGUGGUGCAGUAUACUGUUCUAUCCACCAGGCAAGCUGUUUGGCUGUCCGAAAAUAUAAAUAAAUUAGAAGAAAAUGAUCACAGAGGAGACACCUAUGUUACAGUGAAAAGUAUCAUGUUCCAAAUCAAACACUUGGAAACUUGCCAGUGGUAUUACGACCCUGCCUAAAAUAUGCUGGGAAAAGGAGAAGAAAACUGUUUUAUGUAAAAAGUUCUGGUAAGAGUUUUUUUUCCAGCAUAGAGAAUGUGUAUGACACAAUUUAUGACAACUCUAAACUAUUGAGAAAAAUGCUUGAAAGGUUAAUUUCCUUUGUGCAGCACAGGUUCAUGAGUUGCAGAGAAUCAAGGAAGACAGUUCACUAAUUCAGCUACUCAUUAUAGAUAAACAUGUCAAUUAAUUUCUUCAGACUGCAGUGUAAAUAUAUGCUUGAAUUCUUUGACCUGAUGAAGGUGUGAUUUAUGUGUAUGGCACUGAUUAUUCAUUCCAUUUGGAGCAUUAUUU